GACCGUCCAGGAUCUAGUAUAGCAAUUAUACAGCGAAACUGCGAAUGGCUCAUUAUAUAAGUUAUCGUUUAUUUGAUAGUACCUUACUACUUGGAUAACCGUGGUAAUUCUAGAGCUAAUACAUGCUAAAAAUCCCGACUUCGGAAGGGAUGUAUUUAUUAGAUUAAAAACCCAAUGCCCUCUGGGCUCCUUGGUGAUUCAUGAUAACUUCUCGAAUCGCAUGGCCUUGUGCCGGCGAUGGUUCAUUCAAAUUUCUUCCCUAUCAACUUUCGAUGUUUGGGUAGUGGCCAAACAUGGUUGCAACGGGUAACGGAGGGUUAGGGCUCGACCCCGGAGAAGGAGCCUGAGAAACGGCUACUACAUCCAAGGAAGGCAGCAGGCGCGCAAAUUACCCAAUCCCGACACGGGGAGGUAGUGACAAUAAAUACUGAUACAGGGCCCUUUCGGGUCUUGUAAUUGGAAUGAGUACAAUUUAAAUCCCUUAACGAGGAACAAUUGGAGGGCAAGUCUGGUGCCAGCAGCCGCGGUAAUUCCAGCUCCAAUAGCGUAUAUUAAAGUUGUUGUGGUUAAAAAGCUCGUAGUUGAACCUUGGGCCUGGCUGGCCGGUCCGCCUCACCGCGUGUACUGGUCCGGCCGGGCCUUUCCCUCUGUGGAACCCCAUGCCCUUCACUGGGUGUGGCGGGGAAACAGGACUUUUACUUUGAAAAAAUUAGAGUGCUCCAGGCAGGCCUAUGCUCGAAUACAUUAGCAUGGAAUAAUGAAAUAGGACGUGCGGUUCUAUUUUGUUGGUUUCUAGGACCGCCGUAAUGAUUAAUAGGGACAGUCGGGGGCAUCAGUAUUCAAUUGUCAGAGGUGAAAUUCUUGGAUUUAUUGAAGACUAACUACUGCGAAAGCAUUUGCCAAGGAUGUUUUCAUUAAUCAGGAACGAAAGUUAGGGGAUCGAAGACGAUCAGAUACCGUCGUAGUCUUAACCAUAAACUAUGCCGACUAGGGAUCGGACGAUGUUAUUUUUUGACUCGUUCGGCACCUUACGAGAAAUCAAAGUGCUUGGGCUCCAAGGGGAGUAUUCGACGG
Molecule: ribosomal RNA, 1074 nt
Filed under: Pochonia sp. LS-2013b
Lineage: Eukaryota; Fungi; Ascomycota; Sordariomycetes; Hypocreales; Clavicipitaceae
Description: SSU rRNA
Rfam family: Eukaryotic small subunit ribosomal RNA
Source: RNAcentral